UAGAGUUUGAAGUGUGGGGUUGACUUCGGGGAGGCGGACCGGCAGGCUACUGUAGGUGUCCUCCAUCUGCUGGACCAGAGCUUUAUCAACCUUUCCUGCGACCUCGCUCUCUGCUUGACCUCGACCACUGAGGCAACCUAAGGACAACACCUCCACCAGCUGGUACGGAACACGUCCCUUUUUCAUGCGGUGAACCAGGGUUUGGAUGUUCCUGAAACCGUAGACAGCCGCAAACUUCAGCAGAUUCUCUCCAUCACGCUCCAGGGUCACUUCUUGGAAGUCCCGGUUCCUACAAAAACCACCACCGUGGUUCACAACAAGGUCCUAUAUGUGAUCUCAUCCACGUCCAGACCAAAGAGCUCUUUCGCAGCAUGUUUGAACACAUGUUCUAGGAAACCUUCAGAACCUCUACCCUCGUGCCUCUGUAGUGAUGAGUCUCCAACUUCACCAAGACUGCAAAACAAAGUGACGUGGAAGGUUGCACAACAUCAUGUCCAGAACGACACACAAAGAGACUACACUCACCUGCUGCUUUGAGAAGAAGUCUUUGACAAGACAGCCCAUGAUCUGCUGUGGAGACCUGGCUGUACAUAUAUGUGGGGUGACCAUGCUGCCCAGGACCCGCUCUGAAUGCUGAAGCCUGCAGCCAGAGUGGUGUCAAAGACGUAGUGUACUCCUGAAAUAUAACAGAGCCACGACAGUGAGAACGGAGAGCAGGGAAAAAGUGGAGCUUCUGUGACAGAUACCAAAGAGAAGGUGGCAAUUUCUGCACAGCAAGAAACAGAAGAAUGGAAUGGAACAAUGGACUAUAUACCAAAUGCAUCUUCGACCAGUGUUCAUUAAAGCACUGACAGGGUUACAGACCCAGGAUGUGUGUUAAAGCCA
This is a long non-coding RNA of Cynoglossus semilaevis (tongue sole), 885 nucleotides long. RefSeq lists it as uncharacterized. NCBI's taxonomy places the organism in Eukaryota, Metazoa, Chordata, Actinopteri, Pleuronectiformes, Cynoglossidae. The transcript is spliced from 5 exons. The record is from RefSeq and is a predicted model, not a curated record.